CAGUAGCCGCGGUAAUACGAAGGGUGCGAGCGUUACUCGGAAUUACUGGGCGUAAAGCGUGCGUAGGUGGUGGUUUAAGUCCGUUGUGAAAGCCCUGGGCCCAACCUGGGAAUUGCAGUGGAUACUGGGUCACUAGAGUGUGGUAGAGGAUAGUGGAAUUUCCGGUGUAGCAGUGAAAUGCGUAGAGAUCGGAAGGAACAUCUGUGGCGAAGGCGACUAUCUGGGCCAACACUGACACUGAGGCACGAAAGCGUGGGGAGCAAACAGGAUUAGAUACCCCCGUAGUCCCUGUCUCUUAUAC
This 301-nucleotide ribosomal RNA is filed under the name uncultured bacterium. RNAcentral's name for it is "partial 16S ribosomal RNA". It matches the Rfam family "Bacterial small subunit ribosomal RNA", at positions 509 to 807 of the family's 1533-position model. The record is from RNAcentral.